This 75-nucleotide transfer RNA is filed under the name Bacillota bacterium. Its description in RNAcentral is "tRNA-Glu". It matches the Rfam family "tRNA". Rfam says of the family: Transfer RNA (tRNA) molecules are approximately 80 nucleotides in length. Their secondary structure includes four short double-helical elements and three loops (D, anti-codon, and T loops). The record is from RNAcentral. Lineage: Bacteria; Bacillati; Bacillota.
GGCCCCUUGGUCAAGCGGUUAAGACACCGGCCUUUCACGCCGGCAACAGGGGUUCGAAUCCCCUAGGGGUCACCA